GAAAUGCGAUAAGUAAUGUGAAUUGCAGAAUUCAGUGAAUCAUCGAAUCUUUGAACGCACAUUGCGCCCGCCAGUAUUCUGGCGGGCAUGCCUGUUCGAGCGUCAUUUCAACCAUCAAGCCCCGCGCUUGUGUUGGGGACCUGCGGCUGCCGCAGGCCCUGAAAACCAGUGGCGGGCUCGCUGUCACACCGGGCGUAGUAGAUUUUAUCUCGCUCAGGGCGUGCUGCGGUUUCCGGCCGUUAAAAAGCCUUUUUUACCCAAGGUUGACCUCGGAUCAGGUAGGAAGACCCGCUGAACUUAAGC
This 303-nucleotide unclassified non-coding RNA is filed under the name plant metagenome. RNAcentral's name for it is "partial contains 5.8S ribosomal RNA, internal transcribed spacer 2, and large subunit ribosomal RNA". The stretch from base 1 to 105 matches the Rfam family "5.8S ribosomal RNA", at positions 50 to 154 of the family's 154-position model. The record is from RNAcentral.